Long non-coding RNA from Dermacentor albipictus, 628 nucleotides. RefSeq lists it as uncharacterized. Lineage: Eukaryota; Metazoa; Arthropoda; Arachnida; Ixodida; Ixodidae. The record is from RefSeq and is a predicted model, not a curated record.
AAAACGGUAUACAGCUGCGAAUUUCUUUCACAUCGGCGCAAGAUGCGAGAAGUAACAGCUGUGCUCACUCUUCUGUUACUCUUCUUUAGUAGAAAGCAAGUGUUUGUAGAAGGAGUUGAAGCUGAUACUGGCGCCAUCACAUCCAACAGUACUGAUGAACACUCCUUGCGUACAAAUCAACUUCCGGAAAACCGCUGCCACUCGAAGUACGAGGCAUACAGCCAGUGCAAGAGCAGCAGAUGCGCCGAGUGGAAGUGCUCGUACCUCUACAAAGGAUGGCCCCGACGCUGCACACGUGACUGCUUAGCCGGAUGUUUUUGUCGGCACGGGUACUUCAGAAAUACGGCCCGUCGUUGCGUAUUAGGGUACCACUGCUUCAAGGAGCACAGUCUUUACGAGCCAAAACUCGGAGAGUAAAGCGUACUGUCUACACCAUCGAGAGAGUCACUCACUUCAGUGGCAGUUGACUUCGGGCGAAAUUGGGAAAAAGCAACCUUCUAGCGAUUGUGAAAGUGGAGAAAUAAAACCCAUGUCGGGAAAAUUGGGCAUCGCCAUCCCACAGUGGAUUUGGAAUUGUACUGACUUAUAUCUCUAUGAAUAAAUAUAAUUUGAUCAUGUCACAAAUGCG